This 1025-nucleotide long non-coding RNA is filed under the name Astyanax mexicanus (Mexican tetra). RNAcentral describes it as "lncRNA (ENSAMXG00005007480.1)". The record is from RNAcentral. Lineage: Eukaryota; Metazoa; Chordata; Actinopteri; Characiformes; Acestrorhamphidae.
UUCCAAGUUUCUUCCUUCUACGCUUUUUCCAAGCUUCCUUCGUUUAUUCCAAGCAUCCUUCAUUCCUUUCAAGCUACCUUCAUUCCUUUCAAGCUUCCUUCAUUCCUUCCUUCCAUCCAAGCUUUCUCCCUUUCUUCCAAGCUUCCUUCCUUUCUUCCAAACGUCCUUAAUUUCUUCUUUCCAUCCAAGCUUCCUUUCUUUCUUCCAAGCUUUCUUUCUUUUUUUCAAGCUUUCUUCAUUCCUUCCUUCAAUCCAACCUAUCUUAUUUCAUUCCUUCCUUCCAUCCAAGCUUCAUUCCUUCUAAGCUUCCUUCUAAGCUUCCUUCCUUUCUUCCAUGCUUCCUUUAUUCCUUCCUUCAAUUCAAGCUUUCUUCAUUCCUUCGUUCAAUCCAAGCUUUCUUCAUUCUUUCCUUCAAUCCAAGCUUUCUUAUUUCAUUCCUUCCUUCCAUCCAAGCUUCAUUCCUUCCAAGAUUCCUUCCUUUCUUCCAUGCUUCCUUUAUUCCUUCCUUCAAUUCAAGCUUUUUUCAUUCCUUCCUUCAAUCCAAGCUUUCUUCAUACCUUCCUUCAAUCCAAGCUUUCUUCAUACCUUCCUUCAAUCCAAGCUUUCUUCCUUCCUUCCUUCCUUCCUUCCUUCCUUCCUUCCUUCCAAGCUUUCUUUCUAAGCUUCCUUUCGUCCUUCCUCUUCCUUCCUUUCUUCCUCCUGAGCUUUCUUUCUAAGUUUCCUUCCUUCCUUCCUUUCAGUGUAUGGUGUGGCUGGGAAUUAUUUGUUGCCUGCUCUAGGUGCUGUGAUUAAUAUUUGGCUGCCAUCCAACGUUGAGUGUGAAAUGGUCAGCAUAUCCUGGUACCAGCAAUGACGCCCUAGUCCAUCCAAUUAACUAAUAAUAGUAUAUUUUGUAAAAUGUGUGUACAUUUUUUAUAUUUUUUCAUCUUCACCACUAAAAGGCCCAAACCAUUGACUGGAUAUUAUCAGGACCAUACUCAUCAUGAUGAUUAAAACAACACUGCUUAGGUAGAUUUAUGAUUAGA